ACCUGGGCUCUUUGGUGGGACUAAUGGGAGACUCUGGGAGGGCUCAUGCCAAGGAGUACUUCCCAGAACUUCUGCUGCCAGUGUCCCUGUCCUCACGAUGAUACACAACCACCCCCGGCUCUGCAGGAGACCCUCCAACACUAGCAGAUAGAGUGGAAAGUAACAGAUCAUUCUAAGUGAUACUCAAACAAUCCUGAUAAAAGCAGCCUGUACACUGAAUUCUGUGCUGAAGCCACCACUAGAAAAAAGAAAGAAAGAAAGAAAGAAAAAGCUAAUAACAAAAGGGAAAGAUGCGUGUGCAUUAAAAAACUGGAAUCUUAGGGAAGUGAUGCCUCUUAUCCAAGGUCUCCAAUGGUGGGUGAUCAGGAAUCAUGUCAUGGUAGGUUCACAGAAGAACAGUCAGACAGAGUCUUUCUAUGAUGCCUCUCAAAAUUAUUCAUUUUUAAAGUUUUGGCUUAUUAUUUUGUCUGAAUAUAUUCAGUAUCAUUCAUUUAUUUAUUCCAAUAUUUAUCAUUUAUUCAUACAAUAUUUAUGUUUUACAUACCAUCUAUGGGGCACUGUAUUAGUAUCUGGGAGUGAAAUAAAACUUGACUACUCUUUUCAAGGAAGUUCUGGUUAGAAAUGAGAGGCUGAAAUAUACAGAUACUGCCAUUAAAUGCUUUCUUUUUUUAAAAGCUUUGUUGAGGUAUAAUUUACAUAUAAUAAAAUGUAACCAUUGAAAAUAUAUAAUAGUUUGAUGAAUUUUCACAAACUUACACAUUCGUGUAACUACACUACAGUCAUAGAAUAUUUCCAUCACCUCAAAAACUGUCGUGUUUACCACCACCCAGUGCUGAUUCCAUGCCCCCAGCAACUACUGAUCUUUCUGUGUUCGUAGAUUAAUUUUGCCUGUUCAAGUAUUUCAUGUAAAUUAACCAUACAGUGGGUACUCUUUAGCAUCUUACUGUUUUGCUCAGAAUAAUGUUUUUGAGAUUCAUUUAUGUUGUUGCAGGUCUCAGUAAUUUAUUCCAUUUUAUUGCUGAGUAGUGUUUUCACUGUAAGGAAUGACACAGUUUGUUUAUCAACUUAUCUCUUGAUGGGAACUUGAGUUGUUUCCAGUUUUAGACUCUAAGGAAUAAAGCUACUGUGCAUACCAGACUUUAUGUAGAUGUAUGUUUUAAUUUCUCUUAGGUGUAAAACUGCUGCAUCAUGGUGAAUGUAUAUUUAAAAGAAACUGACAAAAUGACUUCCAAAGUGAUUGGACUUACCAUUUUAUAUUCCCACCAGUAAUAUAAGAGAGUUUCAGUCACUGAAUGUUUUGCCAACACUUGAAAUAGUCAAUCCUUUUCAUUUUAAGCAUUUUAGUCAGUAUGUAGUGGUACUUAAUUAUGAUUUUAAUUUGCCUUUCCCUAAUGACUAGUGAUGUUGAACAUCUUAUCAUCUCUUUAUUAGUCUUUCAUAUAUCUUCUCUGAUAAGUGACUUUAGAUCUUUUGCCAUUUUUGUAGGGUUCUUUUCUUACUUAAUAUUGAGUUGUACAAGUUCCUAUACACUUACAUUAUUGGUCCCAAAUUCUUUGUCAUAUCAUGCAAUACAAAUAAUACAAAAAAAUUCUCCCAGUGUGUGCCUUGCUUUUUCAUUUUAUUAAUAAUGUCUUUCAAAGGUCAGAAGUUUUUAACUUUUACA
This is a long non-coding RNA of Delphinapterus leucas (beluga whale), 1663 nucleotides long. RefSeq lists it as uncharacterized. The record is from RefSeq and is a predicted model, not a curated record. NCBI's taxonomy places the organism in Eukaryota, Metazoa, Chordata, Mammalia, Artiodactyla, Monodontidae.